GUGUAAAUUCAGUCCUCAGGGAACCAAAGGCCGAGUCUCUGCCCCAUGUGUCAGAGCGGGCUCCAGUGUCUGUGUGUGAUGGGGAGUUCCCAGCUUGCAUUACCCAGUACUCCUGGUUGGCCAUUUAUUAACACAGAGGACCAGCACUGUGCUAGAAAUUCCUUGUUACAUCUGUUUGUCUUGGGUAGGCAGCAGCAGGGCCUGGGAGCUGCGCUCCUGGCUGGAAACAGUUGCACUUGGAUAUCACUUCUCAGGGUGUGAUUAAAUACAGACAAAAGCUGAGGAUUUAUGCUGCAGCACAGGGCUCGGCAGCCACAGAGGCCACUCUGUGAGUGUCAAGAGGGCCAGGAGCAGGAGAGUCUGGCCUGGAGACAGGGACGCGCCACUACCACCCAGUGGCUCCCACCCUCCUGGACUCCAGCCAGGAGUGCACAAUCCUUGUCUUAAAUAGGAUUGAGCAAAGGAUGGGACAACCGGCGUCUGUUGUAUAAGCCUAGGGGGCUGGGGACUGGGGCCCUCGACUGUCAUGGCCACUGCACUAAUUUGUGGAGUUAACUAACAUUAUGUAUUCUAACUCUGGGAGGAAAGGACAUUUCAGCCACCGGGCUCCCAUGUGUUCCAGGAGGCUGCUGAAUGAUGUUUCUCUAGCAUCACUGCUUGGUACUACCCCGCCUGGCCCUCCUUCUCGGGGAGCAGCCAGCCUCUUCGUUUGAAGGCAUCUGUCCUAGAGGUGCACUGCUUCUCCUUCUGAAUGGUGUGAUUGGAAGUGAUCCCCAAGCACUCUGCCACUCUUCCGCUUAUUUUGGCCCAGGCAAAUCCAGCCAGCAUUCGAGCUGUGGGUGCCGUCAGAAAGAGGCUGGCUCACUGGCCAGCCUGCUCAGGGUCUGCCGUGUGCUUCCCACUGCAGCAGCUACCACAGGCGCCGAGAAAUCGCUCCCUGGUCUGUGUCUGCAGAGGCAGGCCCAGGAGUGGCCCCGCCUACUUCCAGGCACAGGCUGCUCGUCCGCCUGGUUUUCCUGGAGGGAACUGCUGCGUAGAUUUUUCACGAGCAAGUCCUUACAGGUGGUUUCUGUUUUGAGCCAGGUUUUCAGCUAGGAGCUUUUUUGGGAGUCUGUGCAGAUGAACAAAAUCAACACUGGUCAAAGUCUAGAUAUCUACGAGGAGGGGAUAAAUUAUGAUAAAUACAUCUGAUGGAUACUAGAUCUUUUUAUUAAGAAAGUACUUCUGUGCUAAAUGAAAAAAAGCAGGACACAAACUGAAUAUACGUUAUGAUCCCAAGUAUGUUACAAAACAGAAAGAAAAAGAUGGGAAGAAAAAACACCAAAAUAUUAACAUUGGUUUUCUUGAGAAAAUGGGAAUUCCGGUGAUCUCUUUUGAUCUCUCCUGUAUUUCCUUAUAUUUUCUGCACUGAAUGUGUAUUAACUUUUAUUAUUAGAAAAUGAUUUUUAAAAUUUAAGUCCUAGUUCAAAAAAUAAACGUGUCAGAGAAAGGGGGCAGAUGGACUCCUCCGACUUACAGGGCAGCUCCAUGGAACGCCAUCCAGGUCCCCAGUGCUUCUGCUGCCAGCACUCCACUGAUAAGCAUGUUGAGAGUGAGGAAGUUUCUUCCUGCUUCUGUGCCCCCUUUCUCCCAAUGGUUUCCUCAUUGUCAGGCCACGUACAUAUCUGCUGAAUUGAGUUGGAGGCACGUGCAUUCUGUAUUUUUCUAAGAGUAGGGCCAGGCUUUUCCUGAGCAGUCGGGCAGCGGCAGAGGGGUGCCCUGUAGGGAGCUUACCCAGGACCUGCCAAGCACACCUCCUUGGCCACAGUCACAGCGCACGUUCUGAGGCACCAGGCUGAAGGCGCAGCGCCUGUCCCAGCAGUGAUAAGUAUUUGUGGUUUGUUUUUGAUUCAGAUUGGGGAAGACUUUGAGCCCUGCUGAGACUCAGAGCAUCUCCCUUUUAUUUGCUUUGCUGUUCGUGCUAAUUAUGGAAGAGCUCUGUUUUUCCAGGAGGAAUGGCUCCUGGUUGGCCCGUUCUCGGCCACCAAGGUAACAGGGAAAGUUUGGUGUUCAGUCAUGACUGUGGACUGGACGGAGGUGGCGCCGGUGGGAGACCAACAGAGGAAGCUCUCCUCCCGGCUCCCAGUUCUGGCUUUCGCUAGAAGACAAGAGAAAUGAGGAAAACAGCUACCCUAGGAAAUGCCUUCCUUGAAAAUGGUUUCCUUUUUCUCAGGUUUGAUGAGUUUGGGGAUUUGUUGUUGUCAUUUUUUAAGUAAAAAAAAAUGCCCCAAACAUUAGUGUUCAUUAUCCUAGUCUGAUUUGGGUCCGGCUCUACCUGUAGGAGAUGAAUGUGGUAGGCCAGGGGGCCCCUGUGGAUUCUAAUUUAUGUUUUCAGUUGUUUGCCAUUUUGUAUCUUCAUUACGGGGCUACUUUCCUGCCUCCCUAAAGUCAUCUUUCCCAGCAUGCUGUUUCUGGACUUUAUUUAGUACCGUGGUUACCUCCUGCAGGCUGUGUGGCCCCAUCCUUCACCAAAAUGUCACCUCAAUUAAUUCGGCGGCCAUGAGACAGAUCCAUCACUGGCCCGCCAACUCCCGUCAGCAGGCGCCCAUGAGUGAUGGGCAUCUCCACGCCUCCCACGGCACCCCCCACCAUAUGGAGUCAGCCGGGCAGGACUCACCAUCCCUCUGGGCACGAGGGCACCUGGCUGCCCCGAGUCCUCUCACGCCCUAUGCUGAGGGAGACUUCAGCCUCAGGAGGAGACCCCGGGCGCAUUCAUUCCACCUAGCUGGCCUUGUUCCCCAGCCCUGCACUCAGGGAUGCCUCAGGAGAGCCAAUGCUCUGGCAGGGCAGCCAGGUGCCCUUUUCCUUUGGGCCAGGCCCAGGCAGUGGGGACUUAGUUGAAUCUGCUCAUUCCCACCCCAGCUCCACACAGCACAGCAGUGCAAAUGGAGCUGGCAGAAGAGCUGACUUCUCAUUUCUCUUUCCUCUCCCUUCUCUGGCCCAUAGGUGUUUGAGGAACUGUGGAAGAGGGAAGGCAAGACUCCAGGGCAGAUUGUUUCAGAAAAGCAGCUUGAACUGAUGCAGGACCAGGGGGCACUGGAGCAGCUCUGCCACUCUGUGAUGGAGGCCCAUCCUCAAGUGGUGACUAUCUCGGGCAGGGGAGAGGGCCAGAGCCAGCCCCAGGACAUGCCCAAGAGCCUCGCCAUCGCUCCCUGUGGCAGCCCAGAGGCUCUUCCUAAGAAUGGCUGACCCAGUUUCAUCAAUAAUUCCCUCACUGUCAUCUUUUUAGUUAAGGUAAUGGAUGUGAAGAACAGAAACCCCAGAGCUAUAAAUAAACUGAUUGGGUUGGUCCGGAAAGCGACUCAAAGCCGAGCAGAUCCAGUCAUGAUAAAGGAGAUCCUGGAGAAGAAGCUGUCAUUGUGAGAUGUUUGGGAUCCCCUUGCCCAAGGGACAACAGUGCAGCCUGACUGGGAACAGGAUCCCGUGAAAGCUGAUGCCCAUGUGCCCUGAGAGCUGCCUCUCAAUCCCUGUCCCGAGCCACAGCUAUGGCGUUAAUGUCACCAGUGUUCUCACCCUCUAGGCCCUGUGCCUGGAGGUGCCUCCACAGCCGACCAGCAGCCACCCCGCCUGCUUCAUGCACAUCAGGAGGGUCCGGUGAGGCUGCAGCAGUGGUUAAGGAGUAACACCUUCUUGUAUUAAGGAAUUUUAAACUAAAUAAAAUGUAUGUUGGAGAUACUGUUACCCAUUCUAAG
Molecule: small RNA, 3731 nt
Filed under: Pan troglodytes (chimpanzee)
Lineage: Eukaryota; Metazoa; Chordata; Mammalia; Primates; Hominidae
Description: retained intron
Source: RNAcentral